Molecule: ribosomal RNA, 497 nt
Filed under: uncultured bacterium
Lineage: Bacteria
Description: partial 16S ribosomal RNA
Rfam family: Bacterial small subunit ribosomal RNA
Source: RNAcentral
GAUGAACGCUGGCGGCGUGCCUAAUACAUGCAAGUCGAGCGAACGGACGAGAAGCUUGCUUCUCUGAUGUUAGCGGCGGACGGGUGAGUAACACGUAGAUAACCUACCUAUAAGACUGGGAUAACUUCGGGAAACCGGAGCUAAUACCGGAUAAUAUUUUAAACCGCAUGGUUCAACAGUGAAAGACGGUCUUGCUGUCACUUAUCGAUGGAUCCGCGCUGCAUUAGCUAGUUGGUAAGGUAACGGCUUACCAAGGCAACGAUGCAUAGCCGACCUGAGAGGGUGAUCGGCCACCCUGGAACUGAGACACGGUCCAGACUCCUACGGGAGGCAGCAGUAGGGAAUCUUCCGCAAUGGGCGAAAGCCUGACGGAGCAACGCCGCGUGAGUGAUGAAGGUCUUCGGAUCGUAAAACUCUGUUAUUAGGGAAGAACAUAUGUGUAAGUAACUGUGCACAUCUUGACGGUACCUAAUCAGAAAGCCACGGCUAACUACGGG